Molecule: long non-coding RNA, 624 nt
Filed under: Mytilus galloprovincialis (Mediterranean mussel)
Lineage: Eukaryota; Metazoa; Mollusca; Bivalvia; Mytilida; Mytilidae
Source: RNAcentral
GUAACGAGCAAUUUGAUAAAAUAAAUUUGUCGGUUUCUUAUACGUUGCGAAGCCUUAGAGAUAACAAGAAAAACAGUGUUCGGGGAGAUAACUCUUACAAGGUAAAGUUUUUUGUUACGCGGUGUCAGUUUGAGAAGCGUAUUAACUGUUCGAUAUCAUAUACCAUAUAUCUAAGCGACAUCUUGGGAAACAAAAAAACAGUGAAGGAAAAAAAAGUUGGCGGAAGGAAAAAAAUAAUAAUAAUAAUAAUAAUAAUAAUAAUCAGAACAAAUACAAUAGGUCUUUCAACUGAAAGGUUGAAAGACCUAAUAAUUAAAAACCAAUUGUUCAGAGAACCAUUGAUGUCUUUCCACCACUUACAACAUAUUUUGAUGUGAAAAUAUUAAAAAUUCAGAUGAUAUGUCAGUUUGUUUGACUUUAUGAUGUCUAAAUAUGAAUUUGGAGCAAAGGUCAAAAUCUAGAACGUCAAUAACCUAUGACCUUGACCUCAAUUUCAAGGUCAUAGACUAAGGAUCUCAAACCUAAAGACACUAGUUCCUUAAUAUGUAUGGUUCAUGAGUAAUAUCACUUUACGAAUAAUUCUAAACAUAAGAGGGGCGAAAACUCCCAUUUUUUGUCUUCGCA